AAGAGUUCUUACAAAACUCCCAAACCCCUGUGAACAUACCUUCUGUUGCCUCGGCAGGCCCUGGCCUACCCCGUAGUGGCGCCCCUACGCUGUAGGGCCCGCUGGGGGGGAGCGCUGGGGGCCCCUGCCGGCGGCCCACGAAACUCUGUUUAGCAUUGAAUUCUGAGCGUAUAACUAAAUAAGUUA
Molecule: unclassified non-coding RNA, 186 nt
Filed under: uncultured Nemania
Lineage: Eukaryota; Fungi; Ascomycota; Sordariomycetes; Xylariales; Xylariaceae
Description: sequence contains ITS1
Source: RNAcentral